This 1512-nucleotide long non-coding RNA is filed under the name Homo sapiens (human). Its description in RNAcentral is "HSALNT0370064". The record is from RNAcentral. Lineage: Eukaryota; Metazoa; Chordata; Mammalia; Primates; Hominidae.
CAGGCAUGAGCCACUGUGCCCAGUCUGAGAAAGGGAUUUAAUUUACUUUUUUUCUUCCAAAUGGAUAGCUCCUUGUCCCAACACUCUCUAUUAGUCUGUCAUUUCCCAAGUGAUUUUAAAUGUCUCCUUUAACAUAUACUAAGAUUACACACACACACACACACACACACACACACACAUACACACAAAUGGACACAUAUAUGUGUGUGUGUGUAUAUAUAUUUUUCUGGACUUUUAAAUUCUAUUGUAUUGAUCCAUUGGUCUGUUUUUCACAGUACUAUUUCAAUUAUUGUGACUUUACAACAUAGUUAACAUCUGGUAAAGUUCUUUCUCUAAUGAAUCUUAACUUUUUUUGGCCCAACUCAUAGAUGAACUUUAAAAUUAACUUGCCAAUUCUAUAAAAUAUGCUGUUGGAAUUUUGAUAAAAUUAUAUUACAUUUAUUAUUUAAUUUGGGGGCAUAAUAUCUGUAUAUUAUUGAGUCUUUUCAUCUAGAAAUAUCUUUUAUGGCCUUCAUUAAAAUUAUAUGGUUAUCCUCAAGAAUUUUCUUUUCUUUUUUUUUGAGACAGGGUCUCACUCUGUCACCCAGGCUGGAGUGGAGUGGCACAAUUUCUGCUCACUCAACUUCCUAGGCCCAGGUGAUCCUCCCACCGCAGCCUCCCAAGUAGCUGGGACUAUAGGCAUGUGCCACCACACCUGGCUGAUUUUUUGUAGAGACUGGGUUUCGCUACAUUGCCCAGGCUGUUCUUGAACUCCUGGACUCAGGUGAUCCGCCCAUGUCAGCCUCCCAAAGUGCUAGGGUUACAGGCAUGAGCUACCAUGCCUGGCAACAGCUUUCAUAUUUGUAAGUUUUUUUUCCUAGGUAACCCAAGGUCUAUUGAAAUUGCAUAUAGCUUUCUUUUCUAUUACAUAUUUAAAUAGAUUUUUUCUGAUUUUAGAAAAGCUGUAGAUUUUUAUAUGUUAAUCUUGUUUCCUUUCUGAAAGUUUUUAUUAGCCCAUAUAGAUUUAUGUGAUUCACUGGAUUUUCUAGGUAUAAAUCUACCUUGCCAAUAUUCAUACUUAUUUCUUUUUUUUCUGGUAUUUUUACGUUGCCUGGUAACUCUAGGAAAAUGUCUACUAUUGAUGAUAAAAGUAAGCAUCAUUAUGUGUUGUUUCUGAGUUCUAUGGAGAUGUGGUCUAAUGUUUUGUUCUUCAGAAUAAUGUUUGGAGAUUGGCAAAAUGUUGAUUAUUGUUGAAGAUGAGUGACAGGUCCAUAGCGGCCAUUAAUCUAUUUUCUCUAUGCUUGUGUAUGUUUGAAAAUUUCCAUAAUAAAAGAGUUAAAUUCUACAAAGAGUCAAAUUUAAAAAAAGAACAAGACUUGUUUUAGGUUUUUGUUAGAAACCCCUUUUCAGGCUGCGUGUGGUGGCUCACACCUGUAAUCCCAGCACUUUGGGAGGCUGAGGCGGGCAGAUCACCUGAAGUCAGGAGUUUGAGACCAGCCUGGCCAACAUGGUGAAACCCCAUCUCUACUAAAA